UUUGAUCCUGGCUCAGGAUGAACGCUACCUACAGGCUUAACACAUGCAAGUCGAGGGGAAACGAUAGAGAAAGCUUGCUUUUUCUAGGCGUCGACCGGCGCACGGGUGAGUAACGCGUAUCCAACCUGCCCACCACUUGGGGAUAACCUUGCGAAAGUAAGACUAAUACCCAAUGACGUCCAUAGAAGACAUCUGAAAUGGAUUAAAGAUUUAUCGGUGAUGGAUGGGGAUGCGUCUGAUUAGCUUGUUGGCGGGGUAACGGCCCACCAAGGCGACGAUCAGUAGGGGUUCUGAGAGGAAGGUCCCCCACAUUGGAACUGAGACACGGUCCAAACUCCUACGGGAGGCAGCAGUGAGGAAUAUUGGUCAAUGGGCGAGAGCCUGAACCAGCCAAGUAGCGUGCAGGAUGACGGCCCUAUGGGUUGUAACUGCUUUUAUAAGGGAAUAAAGUGAGUCUCGUGAGACUUUUUGCAUGUACCUUAUGAAUAAGGACCGGCUAAUUCCGUGCCAGCAGCCGCGGUAAUACGGAAGGUCCGGGCGUUAUCCGGAUUUAUUGGGUUUAAAGGGAGCGUAGGCCGGAGAUUAAGCGUGUUGUGAAAUGUAGAUGCUCAACAUCUGCACUGCAGCGCGAACUGGUUUCCUUGAGUACGCACAAAGUGGGCGGAAUUCGUGGUGUAGCGGUGAAAUGCUUAGAUAUCACGAAGAACUCCGAUUGCGAAGGCAGCUCACUGGAGCGCAACUGACGCUGAAGCUCGAAAGUGCGGGUAUCGAACAGGAUUAGAUACCCUGGUAGUCCGCACGGUAAACGAUGGAUGCCCGCUGUUGGUCUGAAUAGGUCAGCGGCCAAGCGAAAGCAUUAAGCAUCCCACAUGGGGAGUACGCCUGCAACGGUGAAACU
This 898-nucleotide ribosomal RNA is filed under the name uncultured bacterium. Its description in RNAcentral is "bacterial SSU rRNA". It matches the Rfam family "Bacterial small subunit ribosomal RNA", at positions 12 to 901 of the family's 1533-position model. The record is from RNAcentral.